Molecule: ribosomal RNA, 301 nt
Filed under: uncultured bacterium
Lineage: Bacteria
Description: partial 16S ribosomal RNA
Rfam family: Bacterial small subunit ribosomal RNA
Source: RNAcentral
CAGUCGCCACGGUAAUACGUAAGGUGCAAGCGUUAAUCGGGAUUACUGGGCGUAAAGCGUGCGCAGGCGGCUAUGCAAGACAGAUGUGAAAUCCCCGGGCUCAACCUGGGAACUGCAUUUGUGACUGCAUGGCUAGAGUACGGUAGAGGGGGAUGGAAUUCCGCGUGUAGCAGUGAAAUGCGUAGAUAUGCGGAGGAACACCGAUGGCGAAGGCAAUCCCCUGGACCUGUACUGACGCUCAUGCACGAAAGCGUGGGGAGCAAACAGGAUUAGAGACCCCUGUAGUCCCUGUCUCUUAUAC